RNAcentral lists this ribosomal RNA (379 nucleotides) under uncultured cyanobacterium. RNAcentral's name for it is "bacterial SSU rRNA". It matches the Rfam family "Bacterial small subunit ribosomal RNA", at positions 376 to 770 of the family's 1533-position model. The record is from RNAcentral. Lineage: Bacteria; Bacillati; Cyanobacteriota.
CGAAAGCCUGACGGAGCAAGACCGCGUGAGGGAGGAAGGCUCUUGGGUUGUAAACCUCUUUUCUCAGGGAAGAAGCUCUGACGGUACCUGAGGAAUCAGCCUCGGCUAACUCCGUGCCAGCAGCCGCGGUAAGACGGAGGAUGCAAGCGUUAUCCGGAAUUAUUGGGCGUAAAGCGUCCGCAGGCGGCUAAUUAAGUCUGCUGUCAAAGCCCACAGCUCAACUGUGGAUCGGCGGUGGAAACUGGUUAGCUUGAGUGCGGUAGGGGUAGAGGGAAUUCCCAGUGUAGCGGUGAAAUGCGUAGAGAUUGGGAAGAACACCGGUGGCGAAAGCGCUCUACUGGACGGCAACUGACACUCAGGGACGAAAGCUAGGGGAGCG